RNAcentral lists this ribosomal RNA (497 nucleotides) under uncultured bacterium. RNAcentral describes it as "partial 16S ribosomal RNA". It matches the Rfam family "Bacterial small subunit ribosomal RNA", at positions 28 to 507 of the family's 1533-position model. The record is from RNAcentral.
GAUGAACGCUGGCGGCGUGCCUAAUACAUGCAAGUCGAGCGAACAGACGAGGAUCUUGCUCCUCUGACGUUAGCGGCGGACGGGUGAUGAACACGUGGAUAACCUACCUAUAAGACUGAGAUAACUUCGGGAAACCGGAUCUAAUACCGGAUAAUAUAUUGAACCGCAUGGUUCAAUAGUGAAAGACGGUUUUGCUGUCACUUAUAGAUGGAUCCGCGCCGCAUUAGCUAGUUGGUAAGGUAACGGCUUACCAAGGCAACGAUGCGUAGCCGACCUGAGAGGGUGAUCGGCCACACUGGAACUGAGACACGGUCCAGACUCCUACGGGAGGCAGCAGUAGGGAAUCUUCCGCAAUGGGCGAAAGCCUGACGGAGCAACGCCGCGUGAGUGAUGAAGGUCUUCGGAUCGUAAAACUCUGUUAUUAGGGAAGAACAAAUGUGUAAGUAACUAUGCACGUCUUGACGGUACCUACUCAGAAAGCCACGGCUAACUACGUG